UCCCAUCCUCUUCUCACCCUCUCCCCGGUGGCCUCAUCUCUCUCUUCCUCUUAGGGGCUUAGGGCUGGCCGCCGGCGAGCGGGUGCUCCGUCUGGGUUCCCGGCGCGGGAGCGGGCGUGGCGGCCCCGGCUGACCUAGCCCCGGCGCGGCGACCCCGGCCGGCCUAGCCUCGACGCAGGCACGAGCGUGGCGGCACUGGCCGCCCUGGCCCCGGCGCGGCGGCCCCGGGCAGCCCAGCCCCGGCGCGGGCGCGGGCGCGAGCGUGGCAGCACCGGCCGGCUUUGCCUCCUGCUCCUGCUCCCCUGCUCCACGCAGUCGGGGCCAGCUCCCCUACUCCGUGCGGUCGGUGCGAGGAUCUGAAUCCGCCGGCUGCUGGGAGACAACUCGGACAAGUAGAAGCACCAGUUCUUGUCAUCAGGAAACAAAAAAAUUAUUGUAUGCAAGCUGAAUAAGGUGAAUGGGUACAAGAAUGUCAGUCUUGAGCCAGCAACUCCAAAGAGCAGCGCCAAGUCUUGAGCCAUUUUUUAGAACUUCAGUACUUUGAGGCAUUUGGCUUUAGCUCCUGAGAAAAUGUUCUAAGUAUUCCUAAGAUUGUCACCAUUGCUCUACAGUAACUAUAUAUUCUGCUAGUUGCUCCCUUGUUGGCUUCAUUUCUGAACGAAUGGCUAAUCACCUAAUUCAUCUGUAGAGUAUGGUUCCAUUUUAGAGAUAAUUUCUCUUUUUCUUGAUAAAAA
Molecule: long non-coding RNA, 734 nt
Organism: Panicum virgatum (switchgrass)
Lineage: Eukaryota; Viridiplantae; Streptophyta; Magnoliopsida; Poales; Poaceae
Exons: 2
Source: RefSeq, a predicted model, not a curated record